GGGCGAUCUGGCUGCAACAUCUGUCACUCCACUGAUGGACAGAGUUACUCUGCUGAUAUGGCUGGCUAGGAGGGUGUCCCCUCCUUAAGUGUCCCUCCGGAAGCUGCAUGUUCAGUUGAAGUUGACAACCACCCCCACCACCCUGACAGAGGAGGACUAUUUCCUCCGUCAAGUGUAUAUAGGUAGCUGUGCUACCCUGACAGAACCUCCAAAACAGCGCUCAAGCUCUCAAAGUGAAACCCUGACUAGAAAUACUUUUAGGAGUGUAUUUGCCACUGUGGCUGUAUAAUUGUUCCCUUUUUUACAAAGAGUAUAGCUUCAUAGUCAUUUCUCUGUUGU
This 339-nucleotide small nuclear RNA is filed under the name Chinchilla lanigera (long-tailed chinchilla). RNAcentral describes it as "7SK RNA (ENSCLAG00000021938.1)". The stretch from base 1 to 300 matches the Rfam family "7SK RNA". From Rfam's summary of the family: 7SK was discovered as an abundant small nuclear RNA in the mid-70s but a possible function has only recently been suggested. The record is from RNAcentral. Lineage: Eukaryota; Metazoa; Chordata; Mammalia; Rodentia; Chinchillidae.